This is a long non-coding RNA of Oncorhynchus tshawytscha (Chinook salmon), 615 nucleotides long. NCBI's taxonomy places the organism in Eukaryota, Metazoa, Chordata, Actinopteri, Salmoniformes, Salmonidae. The record is from Ensembl.
CCCUAGGCCAUGGGGUUCAUCACUAGGGGUCAACCCUAGGACAUGGGCUUCAUCACUAGGGGUCAACCCUAGGACAUGGGGUUCAUCACUAGGGGUCAAGCCUAGACCAUGGGGUUCAUCACUAGGGGUCAACCCUAGGACAUGGGGUUCAUCACUAGGGGUCAACCCUAGGUCAUGGACUUCAUCACUAGGGGUCAACCCUAGGACAUGGGGUUCAUCACUAGGGGUCAACCCUAGGACAUGGACUUCAUCACUAGGGGUCAACCCUAGGACAUGGGGUUCAUCACUAGGGGUCAACCCUAGGUCAUGGACUUCAUCACUAGGGGUCAACCCUAGGUCAUAUGGACUUCAUCACUAGUCACUAAGUGUCCUCUAAAGUUUAGUCAUUGUGAUUUUGUCCAAAGUAGAGCUUUUCUCAUGUUCUCCUGUUAUGAGGUACUGUUGAUGUGUAACUGUUGUACUGCAAUGAGAUGAUCAAUACAAGAUCAAUACAUAUUGAUACCUCAGAUGUCUCGAAUCCCAUAUUAAAGAUCAAUACAUGUUGAUACCUCAGAUGUCUCAAAUCCCAUAUUAAAGAUCAAUACAUAUUGAUACCUCAGAUGUCUCGAAACCCAU